RNAcentral lists this long non-coding RNA (868 nucleotides) under Mytilus galloprovincialis (Mediterranean mussel). Lineage: Eukaryota; Metazoa; Mollusca; Bivalvia; Mytilida; Mytilidae. The record is from RNAcentral.
GAUUAUAACAAAUAAAAAUGUUUUGCCAUUAUAUUCACUGCUGCAUUCAGGGUUCUCCAUGGAUGAAAAUUGAACGAUGGAGGAACUUUCAGCAUCACAACUUUGUCUUUGCUGUAAAGUGUAGCGUGAUCAAAAGUAUUUCAUCCCUCCAUGUAAGGAAUGGUGAACAUGCUAAUUCAUUGCUUAUUUAAAUUAUAUUUUUUUGAAUUUUUAUUGUAGACGUAUAAUAUUUUCAUUAAUUGCCGUUUGUAACCGGAAACGCAGAUGUAUCAAUUGGAUUGUAAACUACGAAAUGAAUUCGGACGGAAUAACGAUAAGAUAUUUCUUCACAGUAAAUAUUUAAGUUUUUAACUUUUAAAGUAAUUCUGUGUUAUCAUUACAGUACUAGAGUUAUUUGCGAUGAAAUAAUAUUAAUGUUUUACGUCUUAUUUUGUACUUCUUAAAAAAGGGGGAUGCAGAUUGCGUAAGUCAAAAUCUCAGGUCAAAAUAAAAGCACAUGUUCGUCUUGUUAAACUGUUUUCUUUGUAACUGGAUUAUUAAUUUAUUUAUUUAAUCUAAAUUAUCAUAAGCAUUUGCUGAUACUUAAUCGAAUAAUUCAAUAAAGGAAUCGUCUAUCUUCAGAUAGUAUUCUGUCUGGUUUGUUUAUCUACCUGUACAAGCUCAGACGAGCUCAGGUACCGGCGUUUUGCAUUUGCGCCGAUCUGCAUUUCAUUUGCGCCGAUUUUUUCUUUCAUUUGCGCUGAUUUUUGUUUUCAUUUGCGCCGAUUUUUUUACAGGUAAAUUACAGGUUAAUUACAGGUGAAUAGAUAUAAGAAGAUGUGGUAUGAGUGCAAAUGAGACAACUCUCCAUCCAAGUCAUGUUUUUUUU